Non-coding RNA from Oncorhynchus mykiss (rainbow trout), 2010 nucleotides. Lineage: Eukaryota; Metazoa; Chordata; Actinopteri; Salmoniformes; Salmonidae. The record is from RefSeq and is a predicted model, not a curated record.
CGAUGUUUGAUUGGAUAGCGUGGUAAAGUCUGUAUGGCGGUGUUAGGUUGAUCUACGUUACUUAAUUUAUUUUGUUGUGAUAAAAGGUUUAGCUAGCUGCCGGGAUUUUUUCUUCAAUCGUAUUAACCAGAAAGUAAAAUUGUUUUGUGCAUCAUUUGCGAGGAUGAGUGGCGGAGUGUAUGGAGGUGAUGAGGUUGGAGCCCUAGUGUUUGACAUAGGCUCUUACACAGUGAGAGCCGGGUAUGCUGGAGAAGAUUGUCCCAAGGCCGACUUCCCCACGGUGAUGGGCGUGACCCUGGACAGGGAGGAUGGUAGCACCCCGAUGGAGACGGACGGCGGGGACAAGGGCAAGCAGGGCACCAACUACUUCAUCGACACCAACCAGCUGAGGGUGGCCCGCGAGAAUAUGGAGGUCAUGUCACCGCUCAAAAACGGCAUGAUCGAGGACUGGGACAGCUUCCAGGCCAUUCUAGACCACACCUACAAGAUGCACUUCAAGUCAGAACCCAGCAUCCAUCCUGUACUCAUGUCAGAAGCCUCGUGGAACACACGAGCCAAGCGGGAGAAGCUGACCGAGCUGAUGUUUGAGCAUUACAACAUUCCUGCCUUCUUCCUGUGCAAAACGGCGGUGCUGUCUUCCUUUGCCAAUGGACGAUCCACAGGGUUGGUGUUAGACAGCGGAGCCACACACACCACAGCCAUUCCAGUGCACGACGGUUACGUGCUUCAGCAAGGCAUCGUCAAGUCUCCCCUUGCUGGAGACUUUAUGAGCAUGCAAUGUAGAGAGCUAUUUCAAGAGUUAAAUGUUGAAAUAGUCCCUCCUUACAUGAUUGCAUCAAAGGUGAGACCUGCUAAAGAUGCUGUACGUGAUGGAACCCCAGCCAGCUGGAAGAAGAAGGAGAAACUACCUCAAGUCACCCGGUCCUGGCACAACUACAUGUGUAAUACUGUGAUUCAGGAUUUCCAAGCGUCCGUGCUGCAGGUUUCAGACUCGCCGUACGAUGAACAAGUUGCAGCCCAGAUGCCCACGGUUCACUACGAGCUGCCCAAUGGAUACAACUGUGACUUUGGGGCAGAGAGGCUGAAGAUUCCAGAAGGCCUUUUUGACCCUUCCAAUGCCAAGGGUCUGUCUGGCAACACUAUGUUGGGAGUCGGCCACGUGGUGACCACCAGUGUGGGAAUGUGUGACAUCGAUAUUCGGCCGGGUCUUUAUGGUAGCGUGGUGGUCACCGGCGGCAACACACUCAUCUCGGGCUUCACGGACCGACUCACCAGAGAACUCUCUCAGAAGACCCCCCCUAGCAUGAGGCUGAAAUUGAUAGCCAACAACACAACGGUGGAGCGCAGGUUCAGUGCCUGGAUAGGAGGCUCCAUCUUGGCAUCACUAGGAACUUUCCAGCAAAUGUGGAUCUCAAAACAGGAGUACGAAGAGGGCGGGAAGCAGUGCGUAGACAGGAAGUGCCCUUGAUCGACCACCAACAGCACCUGCUGCCUCCAGAACUCACAAUAACAUGUCUAGUUUAACCUUUUACUGUGAGCUCAGGAACACCCAAGGACGGUAGUUCUGUCGAUUUAAAAAAACGUUUUUUUAAAAACUGGAUAAUCGAAUCUGCCUUUAUCAUUUUUUGUAGAAAACAUGAACUAUAACGAACCGUGUCACAUAUUCCAUUGCUAUGAAAAGGGUGAAAGGCUGAGUUCCUUUUGACUCCAUCUUCAGUAUGCCAUUUUCAGUUUGUUUAUGGACCUUAUAUUCUGAUCUCAACCUUGUUGACAGGUAAGAAACACUUGGUUAGUGUAUGUGUCUUAUCCAAUGGGUUGUCAGGUGAACGUUGAAGAUGCUUCUUGGAGGUGAUCUAAUGAUGUCAUUGAAUCGAUGUCAUUGAGUUGCUCACUGGACAAGACAAUUAUUCACUGAAAAUUAAAUCUGUCUUUCAUUUCACUUUUGUUGAUACUUGAUUGGCUAUUUGCUGUCUUUUGAAAAUACAAAAAUAAAUAUAACUGUUUUAUGAA